GAUGAAGAACGCAGCGAAAUGCGAUAACUAAUGUGAAUUGCAGAAUUCAGUGAAUCAUCGAGUCUUUGAACGCACAUUGCGCCCCCUGGUAUUCCGGGGGGCAUGCCUGUCCGAGCGUCAUUGCUGCCCUCAAGCACGGCUUGUGUGUUGGGCUCCGCCCCCCCGGGGACGGGCCCGAAAGGCAGCGGCGGCACCGAGUCCGGUCCUCGAGCGUAUGGGGCUUUGUCACCCGCUCUGUAGGCCCGGCCGGCGCCAGCCGACAACCCAUCAUCCUUUUCAGGUUGACCUCGGAUCAGGUAGGGAUACCCGCUGAACUUAAGCAUAUCAAUAAGCGGAGGA
This 339-nucleotide unclassified non-coding RNA is filed under the name soil metagenome. RNAcentral describes it as "partial contains 5.8S ribosomal RNA, internal transcribed spacer 2, and large subunit ribosomal RNA". The stretch from base 1 to 120 matches the Rfam family "5.8S ribosomal RNA", at positions 35 to 154 of the family's 154-position model. The record is from RNAcentral.